AGGCUUAUGCUAUAAUCAAAUUUGACAGUGAAGUUGAAUGACGGUGGUUACUUUUCGAAAGGUGGUGGUGCUUAUGAAUGUAAGUACUGGACGCUACGAAAGGAGUAACCUUUUUGUCCGCAUAGGAAACAAUUCAAAUCAUUCUCGGCUUUGGUAUGUUUACCAUCGCAUUGAUUGGUUUGAU
RNAcentral lists this small RNA (184 nucleotides) under Enterococcus thailandicus. RNAcentral describes it as "Listeria sRNA rli28". It matches the Rfam family "Listeria sRNA rli28". The record is from Rfam by way of RNAcentral. Lineage: Bacteria; Bacillati; Bacillota; Bacilli; Lactobacillales; Enterococcaceae.